Molecule: long non-coding RNA, 486 nt
Filed under: Nicotiana tabacum (common tobacco)
Lineage: Eukaryota; Viridiplantae; Streptophyta; Magnoliopsida; Solanales; Solanaceae
Description: long non-coding RNA (NTAB_LNC016909)
Source: RNAcentral
GAGAGGAAGAGAAAACAAAGGAUCAAGAAGAAAAAGGAAACCCUAGAACUAAAAAAGAGAGAGAUUAGUAGGUCAAAAGGUAGAAGGAGGGUCAAGGUGGGGUUUUUAAAUGGGGGAGGGUGGAUCAGCUGUACAAGAGAACAGAGUAAGAAGGAGAAGAAGAGGGGGUGGGUGGGGUAAAAAGGUGAAGAAGCUGGGUCAUCAUCAUACAAAGAAGAGCACGACAAGUUAAAAAAGUGAGAAAAAAAUAAUAAUAACUGAGGCUAAUAAGCAUUCAUGGCGGAUCCUAAGAAGUGGAACAGUAAAAGAAAGGAAAUUGGAUUUGAUUUUGAAGAAUUGUGAUUGGAAUUGGUGAGAAAUGAUGGAGAGAGAGAAAAACAGAGCAUAACAUAACAGUAGAAAUAGAAGGAGAAGGAGCAAGUGACUCAAUCAUCAUCGUUUUUAAUUGCACUGUGAAAAACAAAUGGAUUUCUCUCCUUAACGGCU